ACGAACGCUGGCGGCGUGCUUCACACAUGCAAGUCGAACGGAAAGGCCCUGCUUGCAGGGUGCUCGAGUGGCGAACGGGUGAGUAACACGUGGGUGAUCUGCCCCUUACUUUGGGAUAAGCCUGGGAAACUGGGUCUAAUACUGGAUAGGACCAUGCUGUAGGUGGUGUGGUGGAAAGAUUAGUUUCGGUAAGGGAUGAGCUCGCGGCCUAUCAGCUUGUUGGUGGGGUAAUGGCCUACCAAGGCGUCGACGGGUAGCCGGCCUGAGAGGGUGGACGGCCAGGUGGGGGAUGAGAGAGGGCCCGGACUCCUGCGGGAGGCAGCGGUGGGGAGUAUUGGACAAGGGGCGCAAGCCUGAGGCAGCGACGCGGCGUGGGGGAUGACGGCCUGGGGGUGGUAAAGUCCUUUGAGCCAUGACGAAGCCCUGGUGGUGACGGUAGGGGAAGAGGAAGCCCCGGCUAACUACUUG
Molecule: ribosomal RNA, 468 nt
Filed under: uncultured bacterium
Lineage: Bacteria
Description: partial 16S ribosomal RNA
Rfam family: Bacterial small subunit ribosomal RNA
Source: RNAcentral